Molecule: non-coding RNA, 677 nt
Organism: Delphinapterus leucas (beluga whale)
Lineage: Eukaryota; Metazoa; Chordata; Mammalia; Artiodactyla; Monodontidae
Source: RefSeq, a predicted model, not a curated record
GGUGCCUCUGGGGGAGGGGGAGGGUCUCCAGGAAGCCAGGAGGGUGGGCACCUGGUGAGCCGUGGGCGCCGUCAGCGGAAGGCGGUCUCUUCUCGGGGUGCCGCACGAAGGAGGUUUGCCCGCGGCGAAGGUGACCCUGCCUUCUCCCCAGGAGCCGUUCAGAGAAAUUGAGUCUUUCGUUGGUACGUCGGUUGCAACAUUGUUGGAAAGUUACAGGGCGCUGUGGCGGACAUAGUUCAAGCCCAGGAGCCAGAAGAGGAUGCCAGCCAACUGCGUCACUUGCCACGUUUUUGUGACAAAGAUCCUGUGAAUUACCUUGAAAGAUAAGUGAGAGGAGGAGAGAAAAAAAGUCUGCAAACUGGAUUGGGACGCGUAAAUCCAGGAUAUAUGCGUUCCAAUUUCAGCGAGGGGCUGUGUGGCCCAUUGUGUGUGAGCGAGGAAGGAGGCGGGGUCAGCUGCUGGCUUCUGGAAAGAGGGCUUCACUCUCAAAAGAGGAAAUGCCCUUAAUUGGGCGUGCAGGUCUUUAGCUAGAAUAACAAGAGGAAACACCUCCCUGUAAUGUGAAGUUUGUGGCCUAAAUAAGAAAUUCUGGACUUCACUGGUGGCGCAGUGGUUGAGAUGCAGGGGACACGGGUUCGAGCCCCGGCCCGGGAAGAUCCCCCAUGCCACGGAGCAAC